Paramormyrops kingsleyae is the source of this 1620-nucleotide non-coding RNA. NCBI's taxonomy places the organism in Eukaryota, Metazoa, Chordata, Actinopteri, Osteoglossiformes, Mormyridae. The record is from RefSeq and is a predicted model, not a curated record.
CAGGACCCCAUACAGCCGCCUAUAUGUCUUGCAGUAAGUCCAGCCCUGGCAGAACCAGAGUGUCUUACUUUAAGACUCAAAGCCAAAAUGAUUGUGGAAAUAAAGGAAAGGUGCUGUAUUGGACUGAGAUCCGGCUACUGCAGAGGCUGAGUACAGUGAGGUCAUUGUCACGUUCAAGAAGGCAGUCUGAGAUGAUAUGAGCUCUGCGACAUGGCAUGCUGCUGGAAGUAGCCAUUAGAAGCUGGGUACACUGUGGUCAUAAAGGGAUGGAUCUGGUCAGUAACAAUACUCAGGCUAUAAAACUUGACUAUUCCAUAAACUGCCAGUGAAAAGUGGAAGCAGAUUUUUGUACACGCAUUAGCCACGGGUGGCUAACCAGAAGCAGACUGGGUUACCGCAAGGAAAAGUAGGCAAGUAAAAAAAGGAAGAAUUACCAUAAUUUUAAUUUCUUCCAUAUGUUGUUAUGCAUAAAAAGACCUAAAAUGAACACUGUAAACGGAUUGCUUGAUUACUAUAAGCAAAUUUCUGAAACAGUAUCUGUCCCAGAAUUAUUCUGUCCCAAGCUUUUUGAUCCAUAUAAGCGUUUGAUCACUAUAAUCGUGAUCUCUAUAAGCGGUUUACACUGUAUUUUAAAUAUUGCUAGUGCUGAAACCGAUUGGUGGUAUAACCUUUGGUGACGGAAACUGUUUUUCCGCAGUGUUGACAUUUGACCUUUUUGAUCAGUGCCGUCUUCACUAAGAGCCACAAUGUGUCCAGAUGAUAGACACAGACUGUUUUCUUUGGUACAAGCGGCUGGAGUAACUCAGUCGGCUCAGUGUUUAAACCCCCCUCAGUAGUAUUUUUUAAGGGAACAAUACAUGGACACCCACUGGGGAAAGUAUUAACAGAAUUUUAAAAAUUACAGGUUCUGAAUGUCAUGUUUGAUUAAUUUUUGAUGAAUUGCAGCAGCCUUGCCCUUUAAAUAUAAAGCACAUUAAUUAUAGUCGUCUGUCAUUUAGGCUAGAAAAGUCUUAUUUGGCUCUAUAUGCAUUAAAAAAUAUUAAAUAGCUGUAACAGCAAUGCGUUUAAAUUGGUUACUUCACACAGUCCAAAUACAUUCAAUCAAUUUGUGACUAAAUUUCUCACAGUAUGUGAACAUGUGAGUGAAUUUAUGUAUAUGUGAUGGGGCAUGAAAAUGAAGAAGUGUCAAUAAAACCAGUGUCAUGCAACAAAUUGUUUUACAAUAUUAAUUUGUCACAUUCAUGCUGCUUAAUGUCACUGUGGAUGUGAACGUAGCUAAUUAAGUUUCCACUCCUGCCUUCAGUAUCCCUGUCAUUUCCUGGCUUGUAAAUGUCUUAGGUUUAGGGAUCUUCCUGUUUAACACAUUGGAAAUAUAUAGAAAACAAAUGAGCAAUUGAAGUUAAGCUUACAAUUAAGCUUUGAGUGUUUUGUGCUGCUUCCAUAUUACCUGUCAUAUUUCCUGUAAGACUUGCCCUGUCGGGUGGCGUGUCCAGGUGUUUUGUUGUCUUAUUCUGCACAUUGAGUGCAGAUCAUCAUCAAACGUCUAACAGGGAUGUUACCACAGGAAACAAAGGACUGAAAAUGAGGGAUGUAUUAACAUUGGCCUCUGGGCUCUUUGAA